AGAAGUCUGCGGUGUACGGAGUCCGGAAAAACGUAAUCCACAAUUAUUAUACGGGAGCUUGCGUUCGGGCGGAUAGGCAAGGUCUGUUUCAACCCGCGUAGACGGCUGUUGAGCAAAACGGAAAGCCCGAAGCCGACCGACAGAGCACCCACCUGCGAGAAAGCGGGUUUCACCUUUUCGGGGUGCGGCACAGGCGGAUUUUCA
Molecule: non-coding RNA, 204 nt
Filed under: Bacillota bacterium
Lineage: Bacteria; Bacillati; Bacillota
Also listed under: 1 other name
Description: 6S RNA
Rfam family: 6S / SsrS RNA
About the family: E. coli 6S RNA was the first non coding RNA to be sequenced, but its function was unknown until recently. It consists of 184 nucleotides that fold into an extended hairpin structure with a large single-stranded internal bulge.
Source: RNAcentral